GAGUGGUGCAUGAGAGAGAGAAUAGGUGAUGGAUUUGAGACACUGACCAUUUUGAUUCAGUUGGGGGACCAUAAACUACUCAAACCCCAAUACUUGAAUACUCUCAUUAUUGCAUUUAUGCUAAAUGAAGAAAAACAUGACCAGUUUUAUCCAUACAUAUGAAGUCAUUUAUUGAGAAUGAACUAGAGACCAUGACCAUUCACUUGAUAUUUUACUCUCUCUUCUUUCCCUCCACACAGGGAAGACCAACUAGAGUCACAAAUCCAUCGAGGUUAGCCAUUAAUACUUGAUCAGUUCCCUUGUCCUUUUGUUGUGGGUUCCUGUAUUUCUUAUUACUAGUGUAGUAGUAGCAGUAUUUUCUUAUUUAAUCCAAUCACGUAAUGCGAGGGGCUCCACUGCAUCGGUUAAUUGUGCUGUGUUUCUUCAGGCGGUAUGCUCUAAUUAAUUGGUGGGUGAAUUGAAUGAUGUUAAAAUUCUCAUUUUUUUAAGCACUAAAUAUAAUUAAUUCGUGUCAAAUUUUAAUUUCAUCGCUAUAUUCUUAAAAGUCUAAAAAAAAUACACUGAUUUAAAACACGUCGAACAUUUACAAACCAAUUAACCUGUAGCUAUAAGUUUCUUAUAUAGACAAUAUUUAAAUGUAUUGUAUUUUCAUUCAUAUUUUAAUUAUUUUCUGACAUUGUACAUGCCCAUGCAUAUAGAAAUAUGAUAUGAUAUCGAAUUACCGAUGUACAAAAUCUAAACAUCCAAUGCUAACAUUCAAGAUUACAAAGUAUUUUAUACACACAUGAUUUAUCUGAACUGGAUAUGUAGAUAGUGGAUUUGAGGUAGAUUGUUGAUGUACCUUAGAUGGAUGAAUGAUCGAUCGAAUGAUGAGAUAAACUCUCGAACAGAGCUAGUUUUUGUGUGCUAGAUAGUCAAGGUCUGAAUAUCCUAAAGUUGAUCGAGGCUCCAAUGCAAUUAAAACACUGUAAAUAAUGGAUAGGUACUUAUCCCAACAGUUAAGUCAGUAAUGAUCCCACAAGAGUAGUGAUAUGUAUUAAAUGCGUACAUACUUACAAUGAUAUAUUUUGAUAAUAAUCAGAGAUUAAAAUAUUUAAAAUUUAAAUUAAAAUUUAAUAUAAUUUUUAAAUUUCUAAAAAAUUUAAAGGUUAUAUUUUGAAUCUCAAUUAUCAUUAACUCGUCAUCAUCAUUAUGAUUGUCAUCACUUACACUAGUAUGAUCAUUGUUAUCGUCGUUGUCGUCGUCAUUACCGUUGUCAUUAUCGUCAUUGUCAUUGUUGUCACCACCACCAUUGUCGGUGGCAACGAUGGUGGUGACGACAAUGACAAUCAUGAUGGUGGUUGUAAUAGUGAUUAUGGUGGUAGUAGUAAUGACGAUGAAGGUUAUGAGAACAGAGGUGGUAAUUGAUGAUGAUAGUGAUGACAACAACAAUUAUGGUGGUGACUAUAACGGUGAUAGUGAUAACCAUGAUAGUAAUGAAUUAAUUGAAAUAUUUUAGAGAGUGAUAAUUGAAAUCUUUAUUGAUUUAUUUAUUAUUGUCUAGUUAAUCUUUCAGAGAUUUGAUGGUAUAUUAAAUUUUAAUUUGAAAUUAAAUAUUUUAAUUUCAAUUAUUUAUUAUUUUUAAUCUUGAUCCUAUAGUUGUUAUUAAUUUUCUCACAUAAGAUAGUGUUCGCAUAGGAGUUGUGCUCUCUUUCUAUAAAGAGACUUAUACUACUUUAUGAAGAAUAAGUGAACUAUUAUAAUAAGAGAUUUUGAGACUUUUGUGAUGAAUAAAUUUUUCAUGCAUGCUUAUCAUAACAAGGUGUUUUUCCUCCCUAAUUAAAUAAUACCAAUAUUGUCUUGAUUCCUAAAAAGGAUAAUCCUAUAUGUAUGAAGGACUUGAGGCCUAUUUAACUUUGUAAUAUUUUAUAUAAAAUUGUUUCCAAAGUUUUUGUUGAUAGAUUAUUUUUUUUUCCAAGUGUAUUUCUUUAGAGCAAUUUGCUUUUGUUGCAAGCAUGUCUUUCUUUGAUAAUAUACUAGUAACUAUUGAGAUUGUUCCCUGUGUGCAUUAUAAAAAAAAUUAAUACUAGUAAAACAUUUGACAAAGUUGACUGGAGUUAUCUUUAAACAAUUUUAGCUUAAUUGGGUUUUCAUGAUCAAUGGAUUACAUGGAUGAGGAUGUGUUUUGCUUAUGUUAAUUUGAACAUUCUUGUUAAUGGUGAUGGAAUUGGUCUUAUUAGUCUUGAGAGAGGGUUUCGUCAGGGUGAUCCAAUAUCACCUUAUCUUUUUAUUAUAUAUAUGGAAUGACUAAUAUUCAUGGUAUUAAGGUAUAUAGAGGAGCUUCUUCUAACAUAUCUUUUAUUGUGGAUGACUCCUUUAUGUUUUGUUGGGAAAAUGAAGAGGAGAUUGAAUCUUUAUAUGCCAUUUUUGAUCAACUUGAACAUACUUCUGAUCAACACAAACAACCUUCAAAAGUUCAAAUUUUUUUUUUCAGCAAAAAUACUUUUCAAAGUACUUGUAAGUUUAUAUCCAAUUUCCUUGGUGUCUCUAAAUGUUUGGGCAUACACAAAUACUUUUGUCUACCCUCUAUGGUGGGAAGAAAGAAGAAAACUAUCUUCAAAUAGUUGAAGGAUCAAAUUUGGAGGAAAAUCGAACAUUAAUUAUCUAAGCAUGUAUCAUAAGAUGACAAAGAAGUUCUUAUCAAAGCCAUCCUCAAAUAAUAUAUGAGCCCCUUUUAACUUCCUAAUGCUUUGGGGGAGGAGAUCCAAUUAAAGAAUGAAGAAUUAUUUUUGGUGGAGUUCGAACAAAAAUUCUUUUAACAUAGGUGACAUUAAUUAUUUAAUAAAUCUUCUUUUAUAAUUUUGUAUUGUUUUAACAAAUUAAAAUUAAAUAAUAAAAAGUAGGAGUGAAAAAGCUUGUCUCAAUCCAAUUGAUUAAAUUCAAACAAUUGUAUAUCAAUAAAAUUAAUUUGCGUACUUUGGUGUUAUAUUUUGUGUGCGUGUGAGAUUGUAUAUCUUUGCAUUGAACUUUAAUUUUAUACUACUUUAAAGAAAAUUAGUGGUGGUGGUGGUAAGGAGCGCAAUCCAAGAGUGGGAGGGACGUACGCAUGCGAAAUCUGGCAUGAUCUACUAGUGAAAAAGCUUGUCUCUCUGCAUUAAACUUUUUCAUUCAGGUGUCCAUGUUGGAGGGUCCCACCAAAUUUCAAUUUUUUUUCUUCUUCUUUCUAAUGGGUAAAGAGUAAAGACAUGGAAGACGAGCUUUGAUCAAUCAGUCAGAGAUAUUCCUCCAUUUUUUUUUUCACCAGCGCCCAACAGAGAAACUCACGGUCUUUAUGUCACACUAUUAUAAUAGUGAAUCAGUACGUAUUUACUUAUUGCCAACACAAAUACCCGAUUGCAUGCGGAGCACAAGAUUCGUACGUCAUCGUCAUUCAUUAUUAUGUUUCUUUUAUCAAACUUGUGCAAAUCAUUACAAUUAUUAUAACUAAUGCUUGCAACCCAUUCGCUUAACUCAUUAGAAGCUUUAACUACUACUAAUUAAAUGAAGCUUUGUGAUUUUUUUUCCCACUUACUAUUUCUCAUUUCGGGAAUAUUGUUUUUGGUUGAAUCCAUGAAUCCUUGGUGGGCAAUUGAGGAC
This 3615-nucleotide long non-coding RNA is filed under the name Glycine max (soybean). Its description in RNAcentral is "long non-coding RNA (GMAX_LNC003788)". Lineage: Eukaryota; Viridiplantae; Streptophyta; Magnoliopsida; Fabales; Fabaceae. The record is from RNAcentral.